This is a non-coding RNA of Caenorhabditis elegans, 144 nucleotides long. The record is from Ensembl. NCBI's taxonomy places the organism in Eukaryota, Metazoa, Nematoda, Chromadorea, Rhabditida, Rhabditidae.
CAUCUACUUUUCCCCAAAUUUAAAAUGUAUUUUCUCAAUUUUUGUCCUCAUUCUACACCUUUCUUUCGAAAAUUCCGCUACUUCUGUCUCUCCCCGCUCUCUCUACCGCAUGUGUGAUCACCAUUCUUUCUCUUUAGCUUUAUU